AAGGAAUAUUGGUCAAUGGACGCAAGUCUGAACCAGCCAUGCCGCGUGAAGGAUGGAGGUCCUCUGGAUUGUAAACUUCUUUUAUCUGGGACGAAAACGGGAUUUUUAUCUCAAUUGACGGUACCAGAGGAAUAAGCACCGGCUAACUCCGUGCCAGCAGCCGCGGUAAUACGGCGGGUGCGAGCGUUAUCCGGAUUUACUGGGUUUAAAGGGUGAGUAGGUGGGCUUAUAAGUCAGUGGUGAAAUCUCCGAGCUUAACUUGGAAACUGCCGUUGAUACUAUAGGUCUUGAAUUAUCUGGAGGUAAGCGGAAUAUGUCAUGUAGCGGGGAAAUGCUUAGAUAUGACAUAGAACACCAAUUGCGAAGGCAGCUUACUACAUAUAAAUUGACGCUGAGGCACGAAAGCGUGGGGAUCAAACA
This 420-nucleotide ribosomal RNA is filed under the name uncultured bacterium. RNAcentral's name for it is "bacterial SSU rRNA". It matches the Rfam family "Bacterial small subunit ribosomal RNA", at positions 356 to 774 of the family's 1533-position model. The record is from RNAcentral.